RNAcentral lists this ribosomal RNA (432 nucleotides) under uncultured bacterium. RNAcentral's name for it is "partial 16S ribosomal RNA". It matches the Rfam family "Bacterial small subunit ribosomal RNA", at positions 29 to 506 of the family's 1533-position model. The record is from RNAcentral.
AACGAACGCUGGCGGCAUGCCUAACACAUGCAAGUCGAACGAGACCUUCGGGUCUAGUGGCGCACGGGUGCGUAACGCGUGGGAACCUGCCCUUAGGUUCGGAAUAACUCCCCGAAAGGGGUGCUAAUACCGGAUAAUGUCUUCGGACCAAAGAUUUAUCGCCUUUGGAUGGGCCCGCGUUGGAUUAGCUAGUUGGUAGGGUAAAAGCCUACCAAGGCGACGAUCCAUAGCUGGUCUGAGAGGAUGAUCAGCCACACUGGGACUGAGACACGGCCCAGACUCCUACGGGAGGCAGCAGGGGGGAAUAUUGGACAAUGGGGGAAAGCCUGAUCCAGCAAUGCCGCGGGAGUGAUGAAGGCCUUGGGGUUGUAAAGCUCUUUUCCCCGGGAUGAUAAUGACAGUACCGGGAGAAUAAGCUCCGGCUAACUCCGU